Molecule: ribosomal RNA, 275 nt
Filed under: uncultured bacterium
Lineage: Bacteria
Description: partial 16S ribosomal RNA
Rfam family: Bacterial small subunit ribosomal RNA
Source: RNAcentral
CUACAAUGGCGUAAACAAAGGGAGGCGAAGCCGCGAGGUGGAGCAAAUCCCAAAAUAACGUCUCAGUUCGGAUUGUAGUCUGCAACUCGACUACAUGAAGCUGGAAUCGCUAGUAAUCGCGAAUCAGAAUGUCGCGGUGAAUACGUUCCCGGGUCUUGUACACACCGCCCGUCACACCAUGGGAGUCAGCAACGCCCGAAGCCGGUGACCCAACCGAAAGGAGGGAGCCGUCGAAGGUGGGGCCGAUAACUGGGGUGAAGUCGUAACAAGGUAAC